This 1126-nucleotide long non-coding RNA is filed under the name Fukomys damarensis (Damara mole-rat). Its description in RNAcentral is "lncRNA (ENSFDAG00000026974.1)". Lineage: Eukaryota; Metazoa; Chordata; Mammalia; Rodentia; Bathyergidae. The record is from RNAcentral.
UGAUUGCAAAUCAGUUUCAGUAAGUGUUAGUGUUCCCCUGGAUUGAAUUAAUUUGUCAUUUACUUCCUUCAGGAUCUAGAUCCUUCAGGGUGAAUCUCUAGAUAUUUUAAUAUAUUAACAAGGUAUCAUUUGAUGCAUAGCCUGUAAGUUUUAAAUAGCUAAUGUGGGGAAACAUUUUACAAACAGGAGAAAUAAUUACUCAUGUGCCGGACAUUAGUCAAACGCCAUUAUCCUUUACUAAAAUUUAAGCUAGAGACUGAGUAAAUUUUUCCAGUGAUUUCUCUAUAUAUGUGCUUUAUAAACAGAGUUUCUAGUGGGACCAUGGAGAGACAGAAAGGAGGACCGAUAGUCGUAGAGUCCCUGUGAAGGGCCAGGCACUUCAGUUAUUGAGUACUGGACACCACUGACUUAGCAUUAGGAAGAAAAGAAAAGGGCAUUCUGGAGUCUGCCAUGUGACAUCCAUCUCUCAUCUUCAAAGCCCUACCUCCAGAUGACCCUUUCUCUAAGAUAUUGUUGUCCUUAAGGAUAAAAGGAUUUAACAACAACAACAACAAAAACAAAGUUGGGAAAUCCACUUUAGACCCCAUCAGCGCCCGAACUGCUCCCCACCUGAAAGUGGCUAAGCAGAAAAGAAACUCCAGGCCAGCCAAGGGAAGCUUGCACUGCACAGCUCCCACAAAAGGGGAUUCACACGAGGCUGUGCUGGAGGAUGCCAUCAACCCCAGUGUGCUUGGUGUGAAGGAGCCCCACAGCAAUCCCAGGUCCAGAUGGAGCCUGGCAUCUCACAGGCUGACACACAACAGGGAACUGUAGAGCUGGCCUUCUAACUGGCCACAGUGGGAGACCUUACUGUGCAUAAAAUAAGGCAAACCUCUUGCACAAAGCUGAACACAGAGCCACCAGCAACUCCUGCUCUUCGCCUUUCACAACUUUGCUACAAAGAAAAACAACAAUAACAAAAAUACCUUGGCCAAAUUACCCACCUCCUCUCCCAAGCCUGAGGCCAGCAGAAAAGUCUAACUAAAAAUCUGCAGAAUCUGAGCUCGGGAUUGGACCCUUGGACAGGAACAUCAUCAUCAUCAUCAUCAUCAUAAUAAUAGCAGCUACUUUGAACCAGAUGGUCAAG